Molecule: long non-coding RNA, 2950 nt
Organism: Leucoraja erinaceus (little skate)
Lineage: Eukaryota; Metazoa; Chordata; Chondrichthyes; Rajiformes; Rajidae
Exons: 3
Source: RefSeq, a predicted model, not a curated record
UCAAUGCAAACCAGUAUCAGAUGCAUGUUAAUGUUAAGUGAUGAAUAGGUAAUAAUCACCGUGAAAUUUGUGACCAAACGCCAGUUAUGAUCAAAUUCAACAGCGCUAGAUAGGUACGAUGGGCUGAAUGGCCAGCUCCCAUUCAUUGGUAAGGUGCCAACUAUGACUCGUAUUGAUAGGAACAAGUCAAUGGAGCAUAGCUAUCACCAUUCGCUAAUAGUUUAAAAGACGAGGGACCAAUAUAAAAUUUUGGACAGAAGGUGCAGAGAGACAGCAGUUCCAAUCUGGACACACAAGGAUAGACAUAAAAUGCUGGAGUAACUCAGCUGGUCAGACAGCAUCUCUGGAGAGAACGAAUAGGUGACGUUUCAGGUCGAGGCCCUUCUUCAAACUGAGAGUCAUGGGAAACGGAAACGAGAGGUAUAGAAGUGAUGCCAGUACGCUGUGUACCAUUACCAUGCCAAUGCGUGUGCCGGAACAGAAAAACCACAGCUCCCAAUUAAGCCGUGUAGUUUUUCGUGGCUUCCUGCACAUUAGGCUUAUUAAGCUGGCACCGAGUUGCUGAUAAUUGGAGGCCAUAACAACUGGCGUGAAAUAAAAUACCAGUUCCUCCCAUUUCCUGGAGCAUAUGGGAGAGAUGUUGUUUCUCAGGUGUUAAAAAGUCUUGGUGGCCUGGCAACUGAUCGGCCUCAUGUGAGCGGACUGCAGCACCUCUGAAGGAAGGAAUAUGUCGGAAAGAUGCUUGUUUAACCAGAAGAUAGACACAAAAUACUGAAGUAACUCGGUGGGACAGACAGACUGGAGAGAAGGAAUGGGUGACGUUUCAGGUCGAGACCCUUCUUCAGACUGAAUAUAUUCCACCUCCUUCAGUUUUAUUCUGGAUGUUGCAAAGUGAAGCUCCAGCAAAAAUGUGAUGUAUUACAUAACGAAUGUUUAAUUUAGCUUAAGGAUACAGUGCAGAAACAGGCCCUUCGGCCCGCCGAGUCCAUGCCGACCAACUAUCCCCGCACACUAACACUGUCCUACACACACUAGGGGCAAUUUACAAUUUUACCAAGCCAAGUAGCCAACAAACCUGUACGUCUUUGGAGUGUGGGAGGAAACUGGAACUCCCGGAGAAAACCCACCCAGGUCACGGGGAGAAUGUACAAACUUCGUACAGACAAGCACCCAUGGUCAGAAUUGAACCCGGGUCUCUGACGCUGUAAGGUAGCAACUCUACCACUGCACCCGCCCUUUAAUUGUGGGAUGGAACAAAAUUGCAUAACAUCAAUUUGUAUUUUGUGCCUUUAUAAGAACAGAGUGUUCUUGCUGGAGACCCAGGUUUGAUCCUGUCCUCGGAUGCUGUCUAUGUGGAGUUUGCACAUUCUUAUGGCCAUGAGGGUUUCCUUCAGGUGUUCUUGCUUUCUCCCCCAUCCCAUAGCAAGCUCCACAUGGACAGCAACUGGGUUUGUAGGUUAAUUUCCCUCUAAACUAUCACUAGUAUGCAGGAAGUGGGUGCAAAAGUGAGAUAACAUAGAACUAGUGUGAACGGGUGAUCAGUGGUCAGCACGGAUUUGGUGGGCAAUGCUAUAUCUCUAAACUAAACUAAAAUUUUCACCAAGGACUGAAGUAGGUGACAACCUGUUUGCUCAGAAUUGAGUCUUAUGGAGUGUCCUUAAGUUGGAAACUGAGCUGGAGGGAUAGAAAGGCUUUGAUAGUUUAAGACAAACAUGGCUAAAUCUCAGCAAAGGGAACGUAUUCGCUCAGAAUGUCUCUGCCAUAAUCACCAUUUCUUAUAGCGAUUUGGGAAAAGUGCAGCAGAGAUUCCAAAAUUAAAUGGCUUUUUAAACUAUUUUACUUGGGAUUCUCACCAAAGCUAAGGUUGGAGAGUCAUAGAGUCAUACAGCAUGAAAACAGGCCUUUCGGCCCAACUGAUCCAUGCCGACCAAGAUGCCCCAUCUAAGCUAGUCCCAUAUGUUCAUGUUUCGCCCACAUUCCUCGAAUCCUUCCUAUCCGUGUACUUAUCCAAGUGUCUUUUAAACACUGCCCCAACUACCUUCUCUGGCAGCUCGUUCCAUAUAGCUCAGCUUAUAUUGUUGUCAUUCAAGGUCGGCAGAGUUAUGGUUGUCCACCCUCCCAGAAUUAUCCUGGAAUCCCCAGGUAUUUAAAAUUAAUCUCCUGGACACAACUGGGGAGGUCAUUAAGAAAAUUGUGUUGUUAUUAUUUUCACAGAACACUUGUUUAGUGGUUAUACAUACAAGCCCAUUGGUAAACGCAUUGAUGUGUGGCAUGCUCUGUGGUCAUCAGGUGAAAUGGCCACUACAUUUCAGCCAUGGGCUGCUGCAACAAACUUCAUCCAGUCGGAGACGAACAGCUGAUCAGGGCCCUGGAUGGAUGGGCUGAGGUCAGAGAGGGGUAGACGAGGGUGGUCAGUCCAGAGGGGAAACCCCUCAAAGAAGGUAAGGCAUAUGACAGGGUGGCCACCUAAGGAAUCUUCAGCCUUGGAGGGAUUGGUUUGAUGGGCAGGGUUCAGUGAUCAACUUUCAGGACUAUUGAUGGUGGGAAGAUAGGUCCAGACUCACACCUCAUUCCUGAAUGUAAUCAAAAGAAAUUGCAGAUGCUGGUUUAUACCAAAGAUAGACACAAAAUGCUGGCGUAACUCAGAAUCUCUGGUGAACAUGAAUAGUUGACGUUUAGGGUUGGGACCCACCUUCAAACUGAUUGUCCUUCCUGAAUGGCCUGGCUGGAAGGAUUGGGGAGGGCUUCUGGUUCAAUGGCUUAACUGGGGCCUGGAGGGUUCUUCACACCAGGCAGAGUCACUGUGCUGUGUUUGACUGGCUGGAAAUCGGUGCCUUGUGAGGGAUGGGGUGAGGAUCAGUUCAAUUCAAUUCAACUUUAAUGUCAUCGCACAAAAUACAAGUAUCAGUACAACGAAAUGCAGUUUUGCGUCAGUCCGUAGUAGUUGUAC